UACAUACUUUUUUCUUCUUCUGUGUGUAUGAACAGGUCAGCCAGGGCAGCGUGUCACAGGGAGCACUCUGGGUAAUGUAGUCCACAGGAUGAAUGUGGCUCUGGGGGAGCGUGGAGACAAACUGAGUCACGCCGAGGACAAGACUGUGGAGCUGAUGCACAAAGCCCAGCAGUUUGCAGACACUGCGCACAAGCUGGCCCUGAAGUAUUCAAAGUGAAGACUGCUGGAUGAAGAAUGAAAUCCUCCAGGACGUUAAAGAUGAAUCCUGUAACAGCAACACUAACGCUGUCUUAAAUAACGAAAUACUUUGUGCUUAAUGUGCCUCAAAUGAAUAUUCUGUUCUUCAAGAGAAAAAAAGCUGGACUUUUGGAUUUAAUCUACAAUUAUUGGAAAUGUAUUGAAAAACCACUGCACAGCUUCCUUGACUCAUUCAUAUUUUGGAUUAAAAAGAUGUGCCUAACCUAAAAUCUGUGUCACAGGGUCGUACGGCUCUUAUUGUAUAAUAUUUUUCUUCUUUGGAUUUAUUUGGAUUUUAUUGCACUAAAUGUUUGAUUUACCCCCACUUGUUGCCGUUGAUCUGUGUUGCUAACAUGUGUGUAAAGUAUGGAGUGCAGUGACAUAUUGAUGUGUCCUGAACACUCAAACUGUUGCUCUAUACUGUGUCUGCUGUACUGUCUUCCGUCUGUGUGUGUCCUGUUUUUACUAACCGCAACAACAAAGCUGGUACUGUUUUCACCUUCUGAGUUUUUGUGUGUAUCACAGGGGCAAAAUGAGCCCCCAGAGAGACCUACUGUGGCGGGAACUAAAAGUACUCUCCAGGUGUUUAUACUUCUGUCUGUGACUAUUUAUCUGUCCGUUGUCUAUCUGUCUGUCUCUAUUUGUAAAAAUGAUUCUGUCAAUGCGAUGGCAGGUGACAAAAACUUGCAAGAUGCAGUCACAAAACUUUAUAGGUGUGUAGUUGACACACAACAAACAAGGUUGAGAUACGCACCAGGCCUGAUUUGGCAUCAUAGAACCAGUAUUAAGGCUGAGCUUAAAGAUGGGAUUUGUUGGAGUGAUUAACAUUGGGAGUCUAUAAACAAAAAGUAGAAAAGGUUGAGGUCAAGCAAAAUGUUGACUUAAUGUUUGCAUCUCUUCUUUCAGUUAUUUGUAAUGCAGAUGCAAACACUGUGUGGAGUCUGUGUUAUUUUAAACUAAAUUAAUAUUGACUUACAGUACUUUGAUUCAUUGACUAAAUUCAUUUUGAUCACUUGUUAUUUUACGUUUUCAUUACUUUUGGCUAUAGUUGAAUGUUUGUGAUGUGAAUAUGUCUCUGUUGUGCUAACUCAAUGACAGUGUGUCCACUCUUCUCUGUGAACCAUUAAAGCCUUUACCUGAA
Long non-coding RNA from Notothenia coriiceps (black rockcod), 1378 nucleotides. RefSeq lists it as uncharacterized. The record is from RefSeq and is a predicted model, not a curated record. The transcript has 2 exons. NCBI's taxonomy places the organism in Eukaryota, Metazoa, Chordata, Actinopteri, Perciformes, Nototheniidae.